RNAcentral lists this ribosomal RNA (226 nucleotides) under uncultured Pseudomonadales bacterium. Its description in RNAcentral is "partial 16S ribosomal RNA". It matches the Rfam family "Bacterial small subunit ribosomal RNA", at positions 104 to 334 of the family's 1533-position model. The record is from RNAcentral. Lineage: Bacteria; Pseudomonadati; Pseudomonadota; Gammaproteobacteria; Pseudomonadales.
GGGUGAGUAAUGCCUAGGAAUCUGCCUGGUAGUGGGGGACAACGUUUCGAAAGGAACGCUAAUACCGCAUACGUCCUACGGGAGAAAGCAGGGGACCUUCGGGCCUUGCGCUAUCAGAUGAGCCUAGGUCGGAUUAGCUAGUUGGUGAGGUAAUGGCUCACCAAGGCGACGAUCCGUAACUGGUCUGAGAGGAUGAUCAUCACACUGGAACUGAGACACGGUCCAG